UACAAACACAAUAAUAAUCAAAUUUAUAUCAUAGAGGGGGCCGGGUUCAUAACAAUGCAAGUUACAAACACAAUAAUAAUCAACUCAAACCAACAAGCUGAAUAGUCCAACAAACAAACACCACACCAUUUGAAACCGCAAAUAAAUUAAACAAGGAAGCAAUUAUAAAAAAAAAGGAAGGAAGGAAGUAAAGCCGGUGCGACGAUGCCGCUUGAGCCUGCAGUGAAAUUAUUAAUUAGCGGGAAAUGAAACAGAUGACCCGGCAUCCGCCUUUGCCUUCUCGGCAUCCUACUUGGCCCGGCACUCUUCUUUGGUCAUACCUAGCUCGCAUACUCUAGCGACGUCGAUGUUCCUCCGCGCAAAUGCCUUCACAAGACCGCAAGCGCAUUUUCCGCGGGAAACCGAAAUGACAUCUCCUAGCCUGCCACAGCACUUUCGAACAUCUUCCUCAGAGGUGGCACCGAAGACUACGGUUCCGAAACAUGAUGGGUCUAAGGAAAGCAACUGCUCAAGACCCGCGGAACAAGCGCCCAGCGGGUCACCGCACUCUUCUCUGGUCACACCUAGCUCGCAUACUGUAGCGACGUCGAUGUUCCUCCGCGCAAAUUCCUUCACAAGACCGCAAGCGCAGUCUCCGCUGGAUUCAGAAAUGAC
This 654-nucleotide long non-coding RNA is filed under the name Setaria italica (foxtail millet). RNAcentral's name for it is "long non-coding RNA (SITA_LNC001568)". Lineage: Eukaryota; Viridiplantae; Streptophyta; Magnoliopsida; Poales; Poaceae. The record is from RNAcentral.